This 254-nucleotide ribosomal RNA is filed under the name uncultured bacterium. RNAcentral's name for it is "partial 16S ribosomal RNA". It matches the Rfam family "Bacterial small subunit ribosomal RNA", at positions 524 to 776 of the family's 1533-position model. The record is from RNAcentral.
UACGGAGGAUCCAAGCGUUAUCCGGAAUUACUGGGCGUAAAGAGUUGCGUAGGUGGCCGUUCAAGUUUCUGUUUAAAUAUCCAGGCUCAACCUGGAGAAGGGCAGGAAAACUGGAUGGCUUGAGUAUGGGAGAGGUAGAUGGAAUUUCUAGUGUAGGAGUGAAAUCCGUAGAUAUUAGAAGGAACACCGAUGGCGUAGGCAGUCUACUGGCCCAUUACUGACACUAAGGCACGAAAGCGUGGGGAGCGAACGGG